This 415-nucleotide ribosomal RNA is filed under the name Staphylococcus sp. KL12. RNAcentral describes it as "bacterial SSU rRNA". It matches the Rfam family "Bacterial small subunit ribosomal RNA", at positions 64 to 468 of the family's 1533-position model. Lineage: Bacteria; Bacillati; Bacillota; Bacilli; Caryophanales; Staphylococcaceae. The record is from RNAcentral.
GAGCGACAGAUAAGGAGCUUGCUCCUUUGACGUUAGCGGCGGACGGGUGAGUAACACGUGGGUAACCUACCUAUAAGACUGGAAUAACUCCGGGAAACCGGGGCUAAUGCCGGAUAACAUUUAGAACCGCAUGGUUCUAAAGUGAAAGAUGGUUUUGCUAUCACUUAUAGAUGGACCCGCGCCGUAUUAGCUAGUUGGUAAGGUAACGGCUUACCAAGGCAACGAUACGUAGCCGACCUGAGAGGGUGAUCGGCCACACUGGAACUGAGACACGGUCCAGACUCCUACGGGAGGCAACAGUAGGGAAUCUUCCGCAAUGGGCAAAAGCCUGACGGAGCAACGCCGCGUGAGUGAUGAAGGUCUUCGGAUCGAAAAACUCUGUUAUUAGGGAAGAACAAAUGUGAAAAAAACUAUA